AAAAGAAACCAACAGGGAUUACCUUAGUAGCGGCGAGUGAACAGGUAAAAGCUCAAAUUUGAAAUCUGCCCUCAGGCCGAGUUGUAAUUUGAAGAUGGCAUUUAGGAAUUGUCCUUGCUCAAGUUCUUUGGAACAAGACAUCAUGGAGGGUGAGAAUCCCGUGAUGCGAGGGUUGCAAUUCUGUGUUAUUUGCUUUCGACGAGUCGAGUUGUUUGGGAAUGCAGCUCUAAGUGGGUGGUAAAUUCCAUCUAAAGCUAAAUAUUGGCGAGAGACCGAUAGCGAACAAGUACUGUGAAGGAAAGAUGAAAAGAACUUUGAAAAGAGAGUGAAAAAGUACGUGAAAUUGUUGAAAUGGAAGGGCUUAAAGUUAGACAUCAUGCUUUCGUUUACGGGAGUAUGGGGCCAACAUCAGUUUUGAGGGCAGGAUAAAUGGUUAAGAAUGUAGCAACCUCGGUUGUGUUAUAGCUUUUCUAAAUACUGCCACUCGGGACUGAGGACCGCUUAUAGGAUGUUGGCGUAAUGACUUUAAGCCAC
This 534-nucleotide ribosomal RNA is filed under the name [Candida] sp. NRRL Y-27690. RNAcentral's name for it is "eukaryotic LSU rRNA". It matches the Rfam family "Eukaryotic large subunit ribosomal RNA", at positions 57 to 648 of the family's 3401-position model. Lineage: Eukaryota; Fungi; Ascomycota; Saccharomycetes; Saccharomycetales. The record is from RNAcentral.